This 732-nucleotide small RNA is filed under the name Pan troglodytes (chimpanzee). RNAcentral's name for it is "retained intron". Lineage: Eukaryota; Metazoa; Chordata; Mammalia; Primates; Hominidae. The record is from RNAcentral.
CACUAUCAUACCUCCGGUACGUACAGAACACAUCACACAGAAAAUUAUGGGAACCACUGAGCAGUGAGGCCAAGGGUGAUCCCCUGCUGAGAAAACCCUGUGUGCCCAGCUCUGAGCUAGCCCUGCUGUAUAUGAUUUCAUUUUAGUUACCAUAAGUUCAAUUUGGCUAUUUUAUCCCCAUUUUGCAGAUGGGAACACUGAAGUUUGGAGAAGUUAACACAUUUUUAGGGUUAUGGUUUUCAGUCUGUUUUUCUCUUUUCUCCCCCUAUAUCUUCUUUCUCCUCAUCUGUCUCUCUUGUCCUUGGAGCAUGAGGUGAGCCUGGUCUCAAUCUAUUGUCCACCUGCUCCUCCAAUAAAUGACUUCAGAGAGAGCUGGAAUCUCAUUCUUGUCCCCAGUUUCUCCCUUUACCUUGACCUGGAUCACCGGGGGUGCAAAUGAGUAGAUACAAGGGUGAUGCAAGUCUUAAUGCUAAUUUCACAUUAUUCCAGGAGAUGACUACACACUCUAAUCCCUUCUCUCUGGCCUUCAUCUAUUUUGCAGGUGGUGAAGGCAUUUGUGGUCCUGGCCUCGCAGUUCCUAUCCCAUGACCCAGAACAGCUCACCAAGGAGCUGCAGCAGCAUGUGAAGUCGGUGACAGCCCCAUACAAGUACCCAAGAAAGAUAGAGUUUGUCUUGAACCUGCCCAAGACUGUCACAGGGAAAAUUCAACGAACCAAACUUCGAGACAAGGA